Molecule: small RNA, 29 nt
Filed under: Bombyx mori (domestic silkworm)
Lineage: Eukaryota; Metazoa; Arthropoda; Insecta; Lepidoptera; Bombycidae
Description: ovarian small RNA-4891
Source: RNAcentral
CGCGAAGAGCCAGAUUUUGCUGGGCCUGC